This 254-nucleotide ribosomal RNA is filed under the name uncultured bacterium. RNAcentral describes it as "partial 16S ribosomal RNA". It matches the Rfam family "Bacterial small subunit ribosomal RNA", at positions 524 to 776 of the family's 1533-position model. The record is from RNAcentral.
UACGUAGGUGGCGAGCGUUAUCCGGAUUUAUUGGGUUUAAAGGGUGCGUAGGCUGUGAGGUAAGUCAGCGGUGAAAUGCCCCCGCUCAACGGGGUGAAGUGCCAUUGAUACUGCCUUGCUGGAAUGCGGAUGCCGUGGGAGGAAUGUGUGGUGUAGCGGUGAAAUGCAUAGAUAUCACACAGAACACCGAUUGCGAAGGCAUCUCACGAAUCCGCUAUUGACGCUGAUGCACGAAAGCGUGGGUAUCAAACAGG